This 447-nucleotide ribosomal RNA is filed under the name uncultured bacterium. RNAcentral describes it as "bacterial SSU rRNA". It matches the Rfam family "Bacterial small subunit ribosomal RNA", at positions 355 to 825 of the family's 1533-position model. The record is from RNAcentral.
UGGGGAAUUUUGGGCAAUGGGCGAAAGCCUGACCCAGCAACGCCGCGUGAAGGAUGAAGUAUUUCGGUAUGCAAACUUCGAAAGAAUAGGAAGAAUAAAUGACGGUACUAUUUAUAAGGUCCGGCUAACUACGUGCCAGCAGCCGCGGUAAUACGUAGGGACCAAGCGUUGUUCGGAUUUACUGGGCGUAAAGGGCGCGUAGGCGGCAAUUCAAGUCAUCUGUGAAAUCUCCGGGCUUAACUCGGAACGGUCAGAUGAUACUGCUUUGCUAGAGUGCAGAAGGGGCAAUCGGAAUUCUUGGUGUAGCGGUGAAAUGCGUAGAUAUCAAGAGGAACACCUGAGGUGAAGACGGGUUGCUGGGCUGACACUGACGCUGAGGCGCGAAAGCCAGGGGAGCAAACGGGAUUAGAUACCCCCGUAGUCCCUGAGCGGGCUGGCAAGGCGCAU